RNAcentral lists this ribosomal RNA (253 nucleotides) under uncultured bacterium. RNAcentral describes it as "partial 16S ribosomal RNA". It matches the Rfam family "Bacterial small subunit ribosomal RNA", at positions 524 to 776 of the family's 1533-position model. The record is from RNAcentral.
UACGUAGGGUGCAAGCGUUAAUCGGAAUUACUGGGCGUAAAGCGUGCGCAGGCCGUUAUGUAAGACAGAUGUGAAAUGCCCGGGCUUAACCUGGGAACUGCAUUUGUGACUGCAUGGCUAGAGUUUGGCAGAGGGGGGUAGAAUUCCACGUGUAGCAGUGAAAUGCGUAGAUAUGUGGAGGAACACCGAUGGCGAAGGCAGCCCCCUGGGUCAAGACUGACGCUCAUGCACGAAAGCGUGGGGAGUAAACAGG